Long non-coding RNA from Oncorhynchus keta (chum salmon), 180 nucleotides. RefSeq lists it as uncharacterized. The record is from RefSeq and is a predicted model, not a curated record. The transcript is spliced from 3 exons. NCBI's taxonomy places the organism in Eukaryota, Metazoa, Chordata, Actinopteri, Salmoniformes, Salmonidae.
GAAAGAGACGAGCAUAGGUUCCUCCCAAGAUGCCACCCGCUUCAUUCAAGUGUCUGGCAGCACUGUGUUCCUGUUAGAGCCACCAGCACAAGCACCAGACGAUGCUGAUCCAGGUGAAGGCCCCAGUGCAGCAGCAACAGCACAUGAUGGAGACGAUGAUGAUGAGGAGGAGACCAUCUC